AGCUGCAAGGGUAAUCUGACUGCAAUGUCUGUCACUCCUUUGAUCAGCGGCUUGGUUUGGCUGAUCUGGCUGGCUGGGUAGGUGUCCUCUUCCUCUCUCACUACUUCCUCCAUAGGCAUUUCUCGGAAUGCUUAGUUGAGAACUUUCCUCCCCAGAGGACCGUUUCCUUGGUCAAAGGUAUAUGAGUAACUGUGCUCCCUGCUCAAACCUCCAAACAAGGUUAUCAAAAUAGAAGAUUAUUU
This 242-nucleotide small RNA is filed under the name Octodon degus (degu). Its description in RNAcentral is "7SK RNA (ENSODEG00000023270.1)". It matches the Rfam family "7SK RNA", at positions 1 to 260 of the family's 331-position model. From Rfam's summary of the family: 7SK was discovered as an abundant small nuclear RNA in the mid-70s but a possible function has only recently been suggested. Two independent studies have found that 7SK RNA binds the CDK9/cyclin T complex (known as elongation factor P-TEFb). P-TEFb activates transcription by phosphorylating the C-terminal domain of RNA polymerase II. Lineage: Eukaryota; Metazoa; Chordata; Mammalia; Rodentia; Octodontidae. The record is from RNAcentral.